RNAcentral lists this ribosomal RNA (253 nucleotides) under uncultured bacterium. Its description in RNAcentral is "partial 16S ribosomal RNA". It matches the Rfam family "Bacterial small subunit ribosomal RNA", at positions 524 to 776 of the family's 1533-position model. The record is from RNAcentral.
UACAGAGGUCCCAAGCGUUGUUCGGAUUCACUGGGCGUAAAGGGUGCGUAGGCGGUUGGGUAAGUCUGACGUGAAAUCUCCGAGCCUAACUCGGAAACUGCGUCGGAUACUAUUCAACUCGAGGAAUGGAGGGGAGACUGGAAUUCUCGGUGUAGCAGUGAAAUGCGUAGAUAUCGAGAGGAACACCAGUGGCGAAGGCGAGUCUCUGGACAUUUCCUGACGCUGAGGCACGAAAGCCAGGGGAGCAAACGGG